This 253-nucleotide ribosomal RNA is filed under the name uncultured bacterium. Its description in RNAcentral is "partial 16S ribosomal RNA". It matches the Rfam family "Bacterial small subunit ribosomal RNA", at positions 524 to 776 of the family's 1533-position model. The record is from RNAcentral.
UACGAGGGGUGCAAGCGUUGCUCGGAAUUAUUGGGCGUAAAGGGUAGGUAGGUGGUCUCAUUUGUCUGGGGUGAAAGCCUUGAGCUUAACUCAAGAAGUGCCCUAGAAACGGUGAGACUGGAGUCUUGGAGAGGGUCGUGGAAUUCCCGGUGUAGCGGUGAAAUGCGUAGAGAUCGGGAGGAGCACCAGCGGCGAAAGCGGCGACCUGGACAAGUACUGACACUCAACUACGAAAGCGUGGGGAGCAAACAGG